AUGAAGACCUUGUUCAUCUUCUCUCUCCUCACCCUUGCAGUUACCGAUGCUGUUGCGCAGCUAGACACUACCCGUAGCCAGUGCUCUGAACAUUGUCAGCAGCAGCAACAACCAUGGCAACAAUGGCGGCAGCAGAUGUACCCAUGUGUGGAAUUUCUGCAGCACGAGUGCAGCACAGUGACACUGCCAUUUGUCCAGUCCCGUAUGUGGCAACUUAGCAGCUGCCAUAUAAUGCGACACCAGUGCUGCCUGCAGCUAGCACAGAUCCCGGAGCAGUUCAGGUGCCAGGCCAUCCAUAGCGUGGCUCAAGCUAUCAUGCAGCCGCAGCCCCAGCGGCAAGCUCCGGUUGAGAUCAUGAGGAUGUCGCUUCAGACCUUGCCGUCGAUGUGCAACGUGUAUGUGCCGGCAUACUGCAACCGCCACGGCAUCCCCAUGGCCAGAUGCAGCGGUGGAUGGGUCUGUGAGUCAAUGUAG
This 474-nucleotide ribosomal RNA is filed under the name Triticum aestivum (bread wheat). Its description in RNAcentral is "partial small subunit ribosomal RNA". The record is from RNAcentral. Lineage: Eukaryota; Viridiplantae; Streptophyta; Magnoliopsida; Poales; Poaceae.